RNAcentral lists this ribosomal RNA (257 nucleotides) under uncultured Glomus. RNAcentral describes it as "partial 18S ribosomal RNA". It matches the Rfam family "Eukaryotic small subunit ribosomal RNA", at positions 624 to 886 of the family's 1831-position model. Lineage: Eukaryota; Fungi; Glomeromycota; Glomeromycetes; Glomerales; Glomeraceae. The record is from RNAcentral.
AAGCUCGUAGUUGAAUUUCGGGAUUAGUACGUCGGUCGUACCUUAUGUACGUACUGGUGUUACUGGUUCCUACCUUCUGACGAACCAUCAUGUCAUUAAUUUGGUGUGGUGGGGAAUCAGGACUGUUACUUUGAAAAAAUUAGAGUGUUUAAAGCAGGCUCGCGCUUGAAUACAUUAGCAUGGAAUAAUGAAAUAGGACGUUGAUCCUAUUUUGUUGGUUUCUAGGAUUGACGUAAUGAUUAAUAGGGAUAGUUGGG